Non-coding RNA from Macaca mulatta (Rhesus monkey), 2645 nucleotides. The record is from RefSeq and is a predicted model, not a curated record. Lineage: Eukaryota; Metazoa; Chordata; Mammalia; Primates; Cercopithecidae.
CCACGCUAUUUAUUGGUGAUCAAGGAGGCAGGUGGUGAGGAUGUGGGGAUUGAAAGGAAGCAGUGCAUCAAGCGCGUGAGCUGUAGCUGUGAUGGUUUAGCAUUUCCUUUGAAGCAUAUGGAACGUGUUCUGCUACUUAAGAUAAUGGGAAACAUGUUCUUCUAGUUUAAGAUACAAUCACUUUAUGAACCUGGGAGUGCUAGAAGCAAGGAGCCAGCAAGUCUAGACACAUUCCAGAGACCAGGUUGUAUACCCUGAGCCCUGGAUUCCAUCCAAGCCACGAGGAGUUUUAUGCCCUGGGCUUAGAUUGUGGUGUGGCGGGGCAGCCUUCCACCCUUUGGCACAGAGCUUGGUAUUCCAAAGGCCACAAGGGGUUUUAGACCCUGGCCCCUGGACAUGUUCCAAGACUCUUUUACAUUAUGUCAGACAAGCAAGCCCUGCCUCAGCUUCUCCCCAACACUCAGCUUUACCCCAGCAGAAGACAAUAAGAAUCAGUUGUUGGGCUGGGUGUGGUGGCUCAUGCCUGUAAUCCCAGCACUUUGGGAGGCCAAGGGGGGGUGGAUCACUUGAGGCCAGGAGUUUGAGACCAGCCUGGCCAACAUAGUGAAACCCCAUCUCUACUAAAAAUACAAAAAAAAAAAAAAAAAAAAACCUAACCAGACCUGGUAGCACAUACCUGUAAUCCUGGCUACUCAGAAGACUGAGGCAGGGGAAUCGCUUGAACCUGGGAGGCGGGGGUUGCAAUGAGCUGAGAUUGUGUAACUGUACUCCAGCCUGGGUGACAGAGCAACACUCUCUCUUAAAAAAAAAAAAAGAAUCAAUCAUUGGCUAGAUGGAUCCUGGUCAGUCAGUCCUUCAGGGGGAUGGGGGAGAGAUCUUGGGAGAGACCCCAGAGAUUAGUGGUGGGGCUGGGCCUGUGGGGGUGGGACAGUGGUUCUAUACUAACUGAAGGUAUUUUCAUAUUUUCUCAGGUGGUGUGCCUGAAUCACAGUGCACCUGUUGAGAAUUGGCUGUGGAUUUAGGGGUGGCUUUGUCCCCUAAUCAGCAGUGGAACAGAUCCUGUUGCCAAGAUGAGACCUGACUUCACAGACUUCCAGAGAGCUAAUUAUACUUGUGAGAAAAAGGAGAUAAAAAAUAUUCAUAUUCAAUUGUGGCUGACACUCCCUGCUUAGGGUAAGACACGGGAAACCAGCUUCUCAGUUGGUUGUGACAUAAAAUAAAUACUGUUACAGGCACAGUCCUGCCUUCUGCUAAGCUGCAGAUGCCUCAAACCUUGAAGCCAACCCCUCUUUAGAACACAGUCUUUGGAAGUUCUUGAGGUUAGAACAGCAGUCUUCAACCUUUGUGGCAGCAGGGACCAGUUUUGUGGAAGACAGUUUUUCCAUGGACCAGGGGCAGGGGGGAUGGUUUUGGGAUGAUUCAGGGGCAUUACAUUUAUCAUACACUUUAUUUCCAUUAUUAUUACAUUGUAAUAUCUACUGAUAAUUCUACAAGCCCUGAGCUUGUUUUCCUGCAACUAGAUGGUCCCGCCUAGUUGAUGGGGGUGAUGGGGUGAUGGGGGACAGUGAUGGAUCAUCAGGCAUUAGAUCCUCAUAAGGAGCAUGCAAUCUAGAUCCCUGUCUGUCGCAGUUCACAAUAGGGCUUGUGUUCUAGUGAGAAUCUAAUGUUACUGCUGAUUGAAUGGGAGGUGGAGCUCAGGCAGCAAUGCGAGUGAUAGGGGGGCAUCUGUAAAUACAAAUGCACCUUUGCUUGGUUGCCAGCUGCUCACCUCCUGUUUUGUGGCCCAGUUCCUAACAGGCCACAGACUGGUACUGGGCCACAGCCUGGUGGCUGGGGACCCCUGGUUUAGAAGGUAAGGUUUUUGGGGCCAGGUGCGGUGGCUCAUGCCUGUAAUUUCAGCACUUUGGGAGGCCAGAGCAGGUGGAUCACUUAGGUCAGGAGUUUGAGACCAGCCUGGCCAACAUGGUGAAACCUCGUCUCUAGUAAAAUUACAAAAAUUAGCCAGGCAUGAUGGUGGGCACCUGUAAUCCCAGCUACGCAGGAGGCUGGGGCAGGAGAAUCACUUGAACCUGGGAGGUGAAGGUUGCAGUGAGUCAAGAUUGCACCACUGUACUCCAGCCUGGGUGACAGAGCGAGACUCUGUCUCAAAAAUAAAAUAAAAUGUUUGUUGUCUGGGCACAGUGGCUCAUGCCUGUACUCCAAGCUACUUGGGAGGCUGAAGCAGGAGGUUCACUUGAGGCCAGGAGUUCCAGGCUCCUGGGAGAUGGCACACUUCCAGGCUCUAGUGGGCCAUGAUGGCAUCACUGUACUCCAGCCUAGGUGAAACAGCAAGACCCUAUUAAAAAAAAAAAAAAAAAGUUUGUUGGGUGAAUGAAUGGAUAAGUGGAAGGAAAGGAGCGUAGGCUUUGAUUAGAUUCAUGGAGUUCAAAUCCUAACUGUGUCAUUCAGGAGCUAUGAGACCUUGGGCGAGUUACAUCAUCUGAGUUUCUCUUCUCUCAUAUUUUAGUGGGGGUAACAGUAUCUACCUUUCUACCUUGUUGUGAGGUUUUGUUGCAAUAACAAGGAUAAUAAUAAGGAUUAUAGUCCGGGCACAGUGGCUCACACCUGUAAUCCUAGCACUUUGGGAUGCCCAAGUCACACUAAUG